GACGAACGCUGGCGGCGUGCUUAACACAUGCAAGUCGAACGGAAAGGCCCUGCUUUUGUGGGGUGCUCGAGUGGCGAACGGGUGAGUAACACGUGAGUAACCUGCCCUUGACUUUGGGAUAACUUCAGGAAACUGGGGCUAAUACCGGAUAGGAGCUCCUGCUGCAUGGUGGGGGUUGGAAAGUUUCGGCGGUUGGGGGUGGACUCGCGGCUUAUCAGCUUGUUGGUGGGGUAGUGGCUUACCAAGGCUUUGACGGGUAGCCGGCCUGAGAGGGUGACCGGCCACAUUGGGACUGAGAUACGGCCCAGACUCCUACGGGAGGCAGCAGUGGGGAAUAUUGCACAAUGGGCGGAAGCCUGAUGCAGCAACGCCGCGUGCGGGAUGACGGCCUUCGGGUUGUAAACCGCUUUCGCCUGUGACGAAGCGUGAGUGACAGUAAUGGGUAAAGAAGCACCGGCUAACUACGUG
RNAcentral lists this ribosomal RNA (468 nucleotides) under uncultured bacterium. Its description in RNAcentral is "partial 16S ribosomal RNA". It matches the Rfam family "Bacterial small subunit ribosomal RNA", at positions 28 to 507 of the family's 1533-position model. The record is from RNAcentral.